GACACUGGAGGUGGGAAGAGCUGCAAGAGCAAGUGAUUAUGAGUAUCUACUAUCAAUGUCGAUUGAAACCUUGAUGCUAGAAAAGGUUCAAGAGCCGUUGGUUGAAAAGGGAAAGCAAGAAAUAGAGGUGGAGGAAUUGAAGAAGGAAACUCCAACAUCUUUGUGGAUGAAAGAUCUUGAUGCUUUCAUUACAGCACUUGAUGAGCAUGAGAAGGAAGAAGCCCAGGUGGAGGAGGUGACAGGACAGACGGAGGGUAGGGUAGGCAAGCCUCUCGCUAAGGCUUCUAGACAAGUUGAAAAGAACCCAAGAAAGAGCAACACCAAGAAAGCCAAUGAAGCAAAUACUAUUGUUGAAUCUGUAGCAUCAGUUAGUACUACAGCUAAAACUGGUACGCAUCAUUCUUUUCUGAUGAAUAAAAAAUCAUCUUUGUCAGUAACCUAGUGUUUGGACGUACACGCCAAUCGGCAGCAUAGAAAUUGAAACCCGAUUGGCGUGUUUGAACGUACACGCCAAUCGGCAGCACAGAAAUUAAAACCUAAAAUGGAUGGAUUAUUAGUUACCAUUUUUUUCCCAUCUUGAAGAUUUCAUUCAUCUCAAUGCAUGUUAUCUUUUUCUCUCCGUAGGACAUGUUUCUGAGGGGGUAAAACCCAAAGGUAGGGGAGCUCCAAAGAAGGCUCCUGCUAGAAAGCAGAAAAUGUCGACUGCCAUUGAUAGUGAAGAGGAAGAUGAUGAGGUGCUCGAGCUGAAAGAAUGACUGGCAGCAUAUAACAUUGAUUCUCCUUCAGAUCAAAUAGGUAUAUGAUCAUCCAUGUGCAGUAAGCUUUCCGAUCAAAGCGAAGCUAAGAAUAGGGUGUUAGUUGAUUGUAAAUUGAUAACCAGUAGAUGCACAUCCAUGGAGUUUUCAUUUGCGAUUGUUGAAAAGCUAUUUGGCUGCGAGAAGGCAUUGGAUCUUAUUGUUAAUGAGAACUUUAAAUAGACAUAUAACUAUUAU
This is a long non-coding RNA of Magnolia sinica, 992 nucleotides long. RefSeq lists it as uncharacterized. The transcript has 3 exons. The record is from RefSeq and is a predicted model, not a curated record. Lineage: Eukaryota; Viridiplantae; Streptophyta; Magnoliopsida; Magnoliales; Magnoliaceae.